GUGGGGAAUCUUAGACAAUGGGGGCAACCCUGAUCUAGCCAUGCCGCGUGAGUGAUGAAGGCCUUAUGGUUGUAAAGCUCUUUCAGUGGGGAAGAUAAUGACGGUACCCACAGAAGAAGCCCCGGCUAACUCCGUGCCAGCAGCCGCGGUAAUACGGAGGGGGCUAGCGUUGUUCGGAAUUACUGGGCGUAAAGCGCACGUAGGCGGAUCGGAAAGUUGGGGGUGAAAUCCCAGGGCUCAACCCUGGAACUGCCUUCAAAACUAUCGGUCUGGAGUCCGAGAGAGGUGAGUGGAAUUCCGAGUGUAGAGGUGAAAUUCGUAGAUAUUCGGAGGAACACCAGUGGCGAAGGCGGCUCACUGGCUCGGUACUGACGCUGAGGUGCGAAAGCGUGGGGAGCAAACAGGAUUAGAAACCCUAGUAGUCC
RNAcentral lists this ribosomal RNA (425 nucleotides) under uncultured bacterium. RNAcentral describes it as "partial 16S ribosomal RNA". It matches the Rfam family "Bacterial small subunit ribosomal RNA", at positions 354 to 796 of the family's 1533-position model. The record is from RNAcentral.